ACUGGGAAGAGUCCAGCGCUGAAUCGCGGCRCCUCUGGUGCCGCGAGGUGUAGCGUACAGACCGUGAGCAUGGGUUGGCCUGCCCGUUCAAGUUUCCCUUGACCGGGGCUCCAGAGAAGGUGCAAGACCUGUCCAACGGGCGGCAGCCAGUCCAUUUUCGCGUGUCUCGGAGUCGGGUUGUUUGGGAUCGCAGCCCAAAGCAGGUGGUAAACUUCAUCUAAGACUGAAUAUGACUACGAGUCCGAUAGCGAACAAGUACCGUGAGGGAAAGUUGCAAAGCACUUUGAAGAGAGAGUUAAAGAGGACGUGAAACCGAUGAGGUGGAAACGGACAGAGCUGGCGUAUCUGGCCUGUAUUCAGCCACGGGCCCGCCGGUGUCAGGGAUGCCGCUCUCCAGAUUGGGACGGUGGCCUGUCUGCUGGUGGGUUUGUGGUGCAUUUGCAGGUGGAGUGCGCCGAGGCGCUCGGGCACAGCGGCAUGAGCCCAGUUUUGAGGCCAGCCUCGCAAGAGGUCUGGUACCCGGACUGGGGGAGUGUUGUUUGGCCUGGGUGUACAAGUGGGGCAAUGGAAUCGGGCCCGGGUGGGUGCCGAGCUGGCAGUCGGCGUCGGUCGCAUGCGACACGUGCCAGCGGUCAGUUCGGUCCUGCUCGAGCUCACAUCUGCCCGUCCUCGGUGUAAAAGCCGGUCAUCUGUCCGACCCGUCUUGAAACACGGACCAAGGAGUUUAGCGUGUGCGCGAGUCAUUGGGCGUUAAAAACCCAAAGGCGCAAUGAAAGUGAAGGUCUCCCUUGCGGAGCUGAUGUGUGAUCCUGGUGCACUGCGGUGCCCGGGCGCAACAUAGUCCCGUCCCGACCGCAUGCGGUGGGGCGGAGACAGAGCGUACGCGCU
RNAcentral lists this ribosomal RNA (888 nucleotides) under Rotylenchus goodeyi. RNAcentral describes it as "partial large subunit ribosomal RNA". Lineage: Eukaryota; Metazoa; Nematoda; Chromadorea; Rhabditida; Hoplolaimidae. The record is from RNAcentral.